This is a long non-coding RNA of Neofelis nebulosa (Clouded leopard), 453 nucleotides long. RefSeq lists it as uncharacterized. The record is from RefSeq and is a predicted model, not a curated record. The transcript has 3 exons. Lineage: Eukaryota; Metazoa; Chordata; Mammalia; Carnivora; Felidae.
AACUAGAGAACAGUGACCACACAGCUCUGGGGGCAAGCAAAACCCACUGGAAUGGGUGAGCUGUCUGGCUUGUGAGUCAUAUCUCGAUAAAGCUGCUACGGAGAACAUCUCAGGAUGAGAAAACGUAGGCUCAGAAAGGAUCGGUGAGAUGCUCCAGACCACACAACAAAUAGGAUCCCCGGCCGGAACCAGGACUGGAAUCCAACCCAGGUCUGCCUCAUCCCAAGCCUCGGCUCCUAAACGCUGCUGUUUCGGGGUAUAGCCCCUCUACGGUUGUAUUUGUGUGAAGACAUGUCAUUGGAUACAGAGUGAAGGAUAAGAGCUGGCAGAUGGUCGAGGGAUACACAAUCACAAGAGCUUGGACACCGCUGUUCUGCAGGACAGAAGCCCUAAAGUGGGUUGAGCGGAAAUAAUGGCCUUCUUGCUGCCUCUUGAUUUGCAGUGUCCUCACAA